GACGAACGCUGGCGGCGUGCCUAAUACAUGCAAGUCGAGCGAAGUUUUUCUGGUGCUUGCACUAGAAAAACUUAGCGGCGAACGGGUGAGUAACACGUAAAGAACCUGCCUCAUAGACUGGGACAACUAUUGGAAACGAUAGCUAAUACCGGAUAACAGCAUUAACUGCAUGUUUGAUGUUUAAAAGUUGGUUUUGCUAACACUAUGAGUUGGCUUUGCGGUGCAUUCGCUAGUUGGUGGGGUAAAGGCCUACCAAGGCGACGAUGCAUAGCCGACCUGAGAGGGUGAUCGGCCACACUGGGACUGAGACACGGCCCAGACUCCUACGGGAGGCAGCAGUAGGGAAUCUUCCGCAAUGGGCGAAAGCCUGACGGAGCAACGCCGCGUGAGUGAAGAAGGAUUUCGGUUCGUAAAGCUCUGUUGUUAGGGAAGAAUGAUUGUGUAGUAACUAUACACAGUAGAGACGGUACCUAACCAGAAAGCCACGGCUAACUACGUG
This 499-nucleotide ribosomal RNA is filed under the name uncultured bacterium. RNAcentral's name for it is "partial 16S ribosomal RNA". It matches the Rfam family "Bacterial small subunit ribosomal RNA", at positions 28 to 507 of the family's 1533-position model. The record is from RNAcentral.